This 253-nucleotide ribosomal RNA is filed under the name uncultured archaeon. Its description in RNAcentral is "partial 16S ribosomal RNA". It matches the Rfam family "Archaeal small subunit ribosomal RNA", at positions 474 to 727 of the family's 1478-position model. The record is from RNAcentral.
AACCAGCACCUCAAGUGGUCAGGAUGAUUAUUGGGCCUAAAGCAUCCGUAGCCGGCUCUGUAAGUUUUCGGUUAAAUCUAUGCGCUCAACGUAUGGGCUGCCGAAAAUACUGCAGAGAUAGGGAGUGGGAGAGGUAGACGGUACUCGGUAGGAAGGGGUAAAAUCCUUUGAUCUAUCGAUGACCACCUGUGGCGAAGGCGGCCACCUGGACUGAUACUGACACUGAGGUGCGAAAGCGUGGGGAGCAAACAGG